CAUUAAGAAGCUAUGUAACAGCAUUAGCCUUUUAAGCUAAAAAAAGAGGGACUCUCCCUCCUUAAUGA
RNAcentral lists this transfer RNA (68 nucleotides) under Centropus sinensis (greater coucal). RNAcentral describes it as "tRNA-Lys". Lineage: Eukaryota; Metazoa; Chordata; Aves; Cuculiformes; Centropidae. The record is from RNAcentral.